UACGAAGGGGGCUAGCGUUGUUCGGAAUCACUGGGCGUAAAGGGCGCGUAGGCGGCCGAUCAAGUCGGGGGUGAAAGCCUGUGGCUCAACCACAGAAUUGCCUUCGAUACUGUUUGGCUUGAGACCGGAAGAGGUUAGUGGAACUGCGAGUGUAGAGGUGAAAUUCGUAGAUAUUCGCAAGAACACCAGUGGCGAAGGCGGCCGACUGGUCCGGUUCUGACGCUGAGGCGCGAAAGCGUGGGGAGCAAACAGG
Molecule: ribosomal RNA, 253 nt
Filed under: uncultured bacterium
Lineage: Bacteria
Description: partial 16S ribosomal RNA
Rfam family: Bacterial small subunit ribosomal RNA
Source: RNAcentral